AUCUGCCUGGCUCAGUUCGUAGAGCAUGUGAUUCUUGAUCCCAGGGCCAUGAGUUCAAGUCUCAUGCUGGGUG
Molecule: transfer RNA, 73 nt
Filed under: Felis catus (domestic cat)
Lineage: Eukaryota; Metazoa; Chordata; Mammalia; Carnivora; Felidae
Rfam family: tRNA
About the family: Transfer RNA (tRNA) molecules are approximately 80 nucleotides in length. Their secondary structure includes four short double-helical elements and three loops (D, anti-codon, and T loops).
Source: Rfam by way of RNAcentral